UGUCCGACUUGGUUGUCGUCUCAUAGCGGAAGGAAAAGAAACAACAGGGGAUUGCCUCAGUAACGGCGAGUGAAGCGGCAACAGCUCAAAUUUGAAAUCUGGCCCUUUCAGGGUCCGAGUUGUAAUUUGUAGAGGAUGCUUCGGCGAGGGCUCCCGUCUAAGUUCCCUGGAACGGGACGUCAUAGAGGGUGAGAAUCCCGUAUGUGAUGGGUUGCUCGAGCCAUGUGAAGCUCCUUCGACGAGUCGAGUUGUUUGGGAAUGCAGCUCUAAAUGGGAGGUAAAUUUCUUCUAAAGCUAAAUACCGGCCAGAGACCGAUAGCGCACAAGUAGAGUGAUCGAAAGAUGAAAAGCACUUUGGAAAGAGAGUUAAAAAGUACGUGAAAUUGUUGAAAGGGAAGCGCUUGCAACCAGACUUGUCCGCAGUUGUUCAGCCGGUCUCCUGACCGGCGUACUCUUCUGCGGCCAGGCCAGCAUCAGUUCGGGCGGCUGGAUAAAGGCCUCGGGAAUGUGGCUCUCUUCGGGGAGUGUUAUAGCCCGGGGCGGAAUGCAGCCAGCCUGGACUGAGGAUCUCGCUUCGGCAAGGAUGCUGGCGUAAUGGUUGUAAGCGGCCCGUCUUGAAACACGGACCAAGGAGUCUAACAUCUAUGCGAGUGUUUGGGUGUCAAACCCAUACGCGUAAUGAAAGUGAACGGAGGUGGGAACCCGCAAGGGCGCACCAUCGACCGAUCCUGAUGUCUUCGGAUGGAUUUGAGUAAGAGCAUAGCUGUUGGGACCCGAAAGAUGGUGAACUAUGCCUGAAUAGGGUGAAGCCAGAGGAAACUCUGGUGGAGGCUCGCAGCGGUUCUGACGUGCAAAUCGAUCGUCAAAUUUGGGUAUAGGGGCGAAAGACUAAUCGAACCAUCUAGUAGCUGGUUCUGAUAGUUUUUUUUUCUUGUAAGAAAAA
RNAcentral lists this ribosomal RNA (943 nucleotides) under Aplosporella artocarpi. RNAcentral describes it as "partial large subunit ribosomal RNA". It matches the Rfam family "Eukaryotic large subunit ribosomal RNA", at positions 1 to 982 of the family's 3401-position model. The record is from RNAcentral. Lineage: Eukaryota; Fungi; Ascomycota; Dothideomycetes; Botryosphaeriales; Aplosporellaceae.